ACGAACGCUGGCGGCGUGCUUAACACAUGCAAGUCGAACGGAAAGGCCCUGCUUUUGUGGGGUGCUCGAGUGGCGAACGGGUGAGUAACACGUGAGUAACCUGCCCUUGACUUUGGGAUAACUUCAGGAAACUGGGGCUAAUACCGGAUAGGAGCUCCUGCUGCAUGGUGGGGGUUGGAAAGUUUCGGCGGUUGGGGAUGGACUCGCGGCUUAUCAGCUUGUUGGUGGGGUAGUGGCUUACCAAGGCUUUGACGGGUAGCCGGCCUGAGAGGGUGACCGGCCACAUUGGGACUGAGAUACGGCCCAGACUCCUACGGGAGGCAGCAGUGGGGAAUAUUGCACAAUGGGCGGAAGCCUGAGGCAGCAACGCCGCGUGCGGGAUGACGGCCUUCGGGUUGUAAACCGCUUUCGCCUGUGACGAAGCGUGAGUGACGGUAAUGGGUAAAGAAGCACCGGCUAACUACGUG
Molecule: ribosomal RNA, 467 nt
Filed under: uncultured bacterium
Lineage: Bacteria
Description: partial 16S ribosomal RNA
Rfam family: Bacterial small subunit ribosomal RNA
Source: RNAcentral